Molecule: ribosomal RNA, 445 nt
Filed under: uncultured bacterium
Lineage: Bacteria
Description: bacterial SSU rRNA
Rfam family: Bacterial small subunit ribosomal RNA
Source: RNAcentral
GUGAGGAAUAUUGCGCAAUGGAGGCAACUCUGACGCAGCCAUGUCGCGUGCAGGAAGAAGGCGCUACGCGUUGUAAACUGCUUUUAACCGGGAAGAAACCCCAGGACGUGUCCUGGGUUGACGGUACCGGAGGAAUAAGCACCGGCUAACUUCGUGCCAGCAGCCGCGGUAAUACGAAGGGUGCAAGCGUUAUCCGGAUUCAUUGGGUUUAAAGGGUGCGUAGGCGGAGCGUUAAGUCAGUGGUGAAAUCCUGCAGCUUAACUGUAGACUUGCCAUUGAUACUGGCGCUCUUGAGUGCGCUUGAAGUGGGCGGAAUGUGCCGUGUAGCGGUGAAAUGCUUAGAUAUGGCACAGAACACCAAUUGCGAAGGCAGCUCACUAAGGCGAUACUGACGCUGAGGCACGAAAGCGUGGGGAUCGAACAGGAUUAGAUACCCGGGUAGUCC